GCAUUCCCGGGGCGUCUCUAUCUCAUUGCGAGAGGAGGCGCACCCAGAGCGUACACGCUGAUACCCGAAAGAUGGUGAACUAUGCCUGGCCAGGACGAAGCCAGGGGAAACCCUGGUGGAGGUCCGCAGCGAUUCUGACGUGCAAAUCGAUCGUCGGAGCUGGGUUUAGGGGCGAAAGACCAAUCGAACCAUCUAGUAGCUGGUUCCCUCUGAAGUUUCCCUCAGGAUAGCUUGCACUCGGUUGAGACGAGUCUCAUCCGGUAGAGCGAAUGAUUAGAGGCCUUGGGGUCGAAACGACCUCAACCUAUUCUCAAACUCCAAAUAGAUGAGAACCCCGGCUUUCUUGAACUCAAUUGUUUUGAAGCCGGGGAAUUCGGAUCAGAGUGCCAAGUGGGCCAAUUUUGGUAAGCAGAACUGGCGCUGUGGGAUGAACCAAACGCGGGGUUAAGGCGCCUCAAUCGACGCUCAUGUGAGACCAUGAAAGGCGUUGGUUGCUUAAGACAGCAG
This 507-nucleotide ribosomal RNA is filed under the name Ernestinus sp. 20020d-3. RNAcentral describes it as "partial large subunit ribosomal RNA". It matches the Rfam family "Eukaryotic large subunit ribosomal RNA", at positions 755 to 1243 of the family's 3401-position model. The record is from RNAcentral. Lineage: Eukaryota; Metazoa; Arthropoda; Insecta; Hemiptera; Miridae.